UCCUACGGGGGGCAGCAGUGGGGAAUAUUGGGCAAUGGGCGCAAGCCUGACCCAGCAACGCCGCGUGAAGGAAGAAGGCUUUCGGGUUGUAAACUUCUUUUAAGAGGGAAGAGAAGAAGACGGUACCUGACUAAGAAGCCCCGGCUAACUACGUGCCAGCAGCCGCGGUAAUACGUAGGGGGCAAGCGUUAUCCGGAUUUACUGGGUGUAAAGGGAGCGUAGGCGGUUUAGCAAGUCAGAAGUGAAAGCCCGGGGCUCAACUCCGGGACUGCUUUUGAAACUGUUGAACUAGAUUGCAGGAGAGG
RNAcentral lists this ribosomal RNA (305 nucleotides) under uncultured bacterium. RNAcentral's name for it is "bacterial SSU rRNA". It matches the Rfam family "Bacterial small subunit ribosomal RNA", at positions 337 to 657 of the family's 1533-position model. The record is from RNAcentral.